RNAcentral lists this long non-coding RNA (9184 nucleotides) under Capsella rubella. RNAcentral describes it as "long non-coding RNA (CRUB_LNC001325)". The record is from RNAcentral. Lineage: Eukaryota; Viridiplantae; Streptophyta; Magnoliopsida; Brassicales; Brassicaceae.
UUUCUGUUUUUUUUUUUUUUUUUUUUCUUGUACAUCAAAAUUAUAUCUUCGGUACCUACACCCCCCACAAGGAUUUGAAGAAAACGUAUUUUGGUAAUUAAUUUAUGUAUAUUACUCUCAGUAUAAACAAGUUUGCAGAGGCAUAAGCUUAUCCUAAGCUUUCCAUUAUUUAUUGUAGUAAACCUUUACCAUUUAUCUUGUUCUUUUAUUACAGCAUUUAAAGCAAAGCAGAGUAUAUACAAGGAGAUAGAAGAUUAAACUAAGAUCAGUGAUCAUCAGCUGUACAUAAAGAAGAAAGAUAUGAAAUAAAAGAAAUUAGAGAAAAGGGGGACAAAUGGAACCCAACACCCACAAAUCAUAUAAGGGGCUGUCUGGUUGUAGAUUCUGUCAUUUGAAUUCAAAGUAUUUACAUUUUUUUUUUCCUUUUUGGGGGGAGCGAUUUCUUCCAUCACAUCUAUCUGCCUUAAGAACAAGCAAAAGGAUCAGGAAGCUUGUUGAUGAAUAGCAGUGUCAGGAAGCAUUGCUAUUGUCACUAUGAAGUAUUCACAUCCUGAAGGGAGACCAUAAGGGUUUGAAGUUGUUGCUGAAGAUGAUGUUGAGAUUACACUUGAUGCCAGAGUUCUCGAGCCCAGGUCUGAGCUGAGAUGACGUGUCUUACCUGCCUCGGUUGAUGCAGAAGCUGAAAGUGCUGAUGGCAGUUUCACUAAUUGGCGCUCGAUGUGGACAAUCUGUCCAACAAUGUAUGUAGGCCGGUUUGGGAGGUGAUCUGUGAACAAUGCCUCGGAUUCAGAGGACAAGUAGUAAUUUGGGCAGUUCCUGUUGAUUGCCUCGUAAUGCCCUGCCUGGUUUAGCACAAAUGCUGCUAUCUCAUGAACUUCAAGACGACCAAAUGAUAUCUUUUCCUUAUUUGCCUGUCACCACAAGAAGUUCACCAAUUUUCUCAUUCAAUACCAAUGACACUCUAAUUUAUAGCAAAUAGAGAAAGAAAGUUUGCUGCAAGAACCAUGACUGAUAGUAGAGAGAACGGGAGUCUACCUGCUUCCCAAGUUGGUGCUUAGUGUACAAUGUUUUCACCAGCUCUUUCUUUUCCUCCAAGUCCUUUCUUGUCUGUUCACUUGUAGCUUCAAGAUUUUGGCACUUUUCCAGUAAUUCCUCCCGGUGUUUGGAGAGGAAGCUAACUUUGUCUGCCAGGACUCGGAUGCAUUUCCGGAACUCAGCAGUACCAUCAUCUUCAUUUUCAUUAACGGAGCUGUGAAAUUCCCAAGUAGGAAAAAUGCGAAUCCAGAGAAACAUUAUUAGAACAUGAGCUUGAAAAGUAAAUAAGUACUGCCAUAUACACAGGAAAGAAAGGACUAAGGUUAUCAUUAUGGGAAGCAGGACAGACGGGAACUUACUUGGCCAAAGCUUGAGCCAAAGUUCGCAAGGAGUCAGCAAAAUCAGCAAUCCCAUUACCAGCACAAACAGAGCUCCGGAAUCUUUCAAAAAGACCUCGCAUCUUUACGGCUGAUGCACGAAGAGCAUUAUACUGCGAAGCUCUACUAUCAGCAGCACAGAGAUGGGUCUGGGCUUCUUCUCUUGCUUCAUGUAAGCAGUUCUCCAAAUGCGCACAGUUCAUCUACAGCCAAAAAAGCAAUAUUGACCACAUCAAAGGGGAAAACUUAGGGGGGAAAAGGUUUCUAUAAUGUGCAACAAGCUAUCUGGUGAAAUCACAGAAUCAUGCUUAUCGUAUCCCCAGAUUUUUAGAUGAAAUGUCUGUCCAAUCACAAACAUAAAAACUGUUCAAAAAUGUAUCGCUAGAGUGUCACAAAAUGAUUGAAACGAGAGAACUCCCAAAAUUUCAAUGAUUGGUGAACCAGGCAUAAACCAAGAUCUCAGGAAAGCACCGAUCUAAAACUCCUGGAACUAGUUGGCAACAACUGGUUUGGGCAUUACGCAAAAUCAUAUUGAACCUUCCUAGUCCAGAUGGUUGAAAUCAAUAAUAAACAUUUAAGUUCACAGGAAAUAGACCUGAUUAUAGCACCUUGGAUACUAAGAAUUAGACAUCAAGGACAAAGCUAAUAACAGCAAUCAAAAGAGUGACAGAUAAUGGUGUAAAGAUAACAUACCAAAAAGUAAAGACUAGCUUUAGACUAACAAUGCAAUGAAUGAUAUCAGAGGAAAGAUAAAAGAAACAACCAAAUAUGAAAUCCGACGAACCUGGGAUUCUUCAAGAAGCUUCUGAUUCGUUUCCAAUUCUCUGCUCAAAUUGGAUACCUCUUCCAUAGCACCAUUUAGCUUGGACUCUAUUUCACUCAGUUUAUUGGACUUUUCCAUCAGCUCAUUUCUAAGUUCCAAGAUAAUAUCAUCACUAUGUUUGGCAUCUAAACCUCUGUCAGUUGCCGCAUUAUCAUCGAAAGAUUUUGGUGGGCUCUCGGCUGUUGAACUAUUACUUAGGAAUACCCCCAUUUCCAACAACACAUUAUCCUUUCCACCUUUCUCGUUGUUUUGCUGGCUUUCCAGCAUAGAUGAGUCAAGCGGACGACUGAGCACCUGAGAGGAAUCAACCAUAUUCUCAUCCAUACCUUCCCGGGUUUUACAUGGCUGCUUGCUAGUAGGAUUUGAAACACAUGAGACCUCAUCCAUGGGUUCAGAACCAGAUACAUGAGUUUUAUUUCCUUCCACGUCACCUGAAGCUUCUACUUUGUAUUCACUAACUUUUGCAUCCAUAAGGUUCAAGCUAGAUGCAUCUUUGUUAUUAUGUCUCUGUCCCUGCAGAUACUCAUCGGAAAGACGUUGUUCUAGUUCACGGAUGCGCUUCUCAUAUGAAUCACAGUGCAUUUGUUUUUCCUUCAGCAUAAUUAGAAGAUGUUUCUCAUACUCAUCUUUGGCCUGCAAUGCCUCUGCUGUCUUCUCUGCGGCAUUUUUCAACACAUUUUCUACUUCACUUUCAUCCAGCAACUCAUAUUCAAAUUGUGGGCCUAAUGAACAGAUCCGAGAUAUUGCAGAAGCAAGGUCAGCUUUUAGUUUUGCAUUCUCAACUUCCAUCUUGCUGGUCCCUGCUAUCUCUAUCAAUUCAGAGGCUGCUAGGAUAUCAUCAAAAUUUUCUUUGUCGAAUGUGUCUAAACCUAUCUCUUCAGGCUCAACAGAAAUCGAGCUAUCACUAGACAUGGUCAGUGAACUCCUUGAGGAUGCAACCUUUGAAUGUAACCCAACAAGAUACUCAGGAGCAUAUCGAUCAACAUCCGUGAUCUCAAUAUUGAGUAAACUAGUAUCAAAAGGAGCGACAUUGACAUCACACUGAGUGGGAGUAUCAAAUAAACCCAUUGAAGCCAAUACAUCACGAGGUACAAAAGAACCAUGUGUUUUAAGAAACUCCUCACGUCUUCUGACCUCUGUUUCCCGCUUCAUAGCAAGCUUCUCUGCCAAUUGCCCAGCCAUACCCAUGUAAAGCUUCAUAGAGGCUUUUCUUCUUACCACCUCUGCGAGACAGGCCCUAUAAGCGGGGCCAACACCACGGACUAACUUCAAGUCUGCAAAUAAGUCAUCCUGGCGCACCAUUGCCUCUCUAAAAACAGGAAACUGCAACUUAGCAUCUUUGAUGAUAUAUGUGACAUACGUUAUCUUUUGCAUGUAACUGUGUACAAAGUUGUUCAUCUCAUUCUUCUUAUUCUUGCAGAAAUUCAGCAAUUCUGAAAUCGAGUUAUAGCAAGAUUGCAUUUUGGGAAGAUGAUUCUUGUCAUGCACUUCGUACAUAGGACCCAGGGCUGAAACAGCAUCGUGGGGACGGAGAGAUGAGGAAAGUUGGCUAGACAUGCAAUCAUCCACAAGUUUCUUAACCGUAUUGACAUCUUUGCUGUUUCAAGAAUUAUAAAUAAAAGAGUCAGAUAACAGCAAUUUUCAAUGUGAAAAAAUGAAAAGGUGUUCUCAGCUAACCAAAAGAACAAACCUGAGAGACUGCAUUAUGCUCUUUUCCUCAUCAAUGAACCGUACGUGAUCCUUAACAGUCACUUCUAAGUUCUUCAUUGAUAAGGAAGCCCUGCAAGCAAACAACUCCUCCACCUUGCGCUUGACUUCUACAAACAUUUGCUGGAACUGUGCAAUCUUAUUCUCAAAUUGCCUGUGAGAGCUAGCACAAUUCUCUACAGCCUUUUUGAGGUUAUCUUCCUUGACAAAGUCCAAUAAGCAUUUCCUUGUAUCAGUUUGAAGAUAAGGGUGAAUCUUAGCUGACCUUAGUUUCUCAAUAUCCCUUCCAAAAUUCAUAAGCAAAUCAGAGUGGAGGCGGUGUUGAUGCUUAUAACGCUUCAUAAAUUCAAGAAAGUUCUGAUAGAUCACCUUGUAAUACUGUUCCAAAUUCCGCGUAGCGACUUCAACAGCCCGUUGUUGUACCUUUUGCUCUCUUGUUAACCUUUCGCAGUUCUCAUGCUUCACAACAGUGCAACUGUAGAUGGUGCGGCCUUUAUGGAAAUGGUACCGAAAUUGCCUUUCAUAUAAAGGUAAAGCCUUCAAAGCUGGAUCUGAUGCAUCAUCCAAGGGAUGAUGUUCAUGUAAUGAAGCCGGAGGUAAAGCGUCAGCAACUUCCUGUAAAUCUACAUCUUCAGGUGGUGGCGGAUGAGAGUUACUUUGCAGCAUAGCCUUGUUAAAAAUAAAGACUUCCCUGUCAUUUGCAGGAAGUCCAAAAGCAGAAAGCAGCUUUUGUGGCUCAAGUUUCAUAUCCAGCGAGAGAAGAAGCUGAUCAGAGAAGCCGAUACCAGAAACAGAUUCAACAAAACGCAUCACAGAUUCAACUGUAGUGGUCUCGCUGCAUUCAAAUUCAAACGAGUGGCCAUUCUCAGCCACGCAGAGAAGAAGCUUGCCAUCGCCGGCGAAACUCUCAGUGAAGCUUCCGCUCAUCGUAACGACCAAAGGACCCCAAAAAUCCUCAACCGCAGAAUCCCCCUAGCCCACAGCCAAAUUAAGACAGGUGACUCACCUAAUCGAAUUAGGAACAGGAAAUAGGCAAAGCAGCGCCAAAUCAAAAGCCCUCCACAACACAAAUCCCCAACCACGAAUCUGUAAAAGAACAAGGCUUUCUCUAUAUCUUCUUCGAUCCUUGACCAAAAUCCAAAUUCAUCAAAAACCCUUGUCGAAUCUCAGCGUUUUCGUAUAUGUAUCACAAAAGACCUUUAAAACCCAGGAGACACACAAAAUCAGAAUCCAGCGUCAGCUCAAAUUCGAUAAUAAUAUUUUUGCACAAGUACCCACCACGAAAAAUCCUCAAAUUCUUCGAAAUUUAAGCCAAAUUCCACCAAAAUCAAAUAUUCAACCAAAUCAAUAUCCCCCUUCUUUCGCCUUGGUACAUACCCAGAAGAAAUUGUUUUUUUUGUUUUUUCUAAAAUAUAAAAAGGAACAAAAAGAGAUAAGCAAACCCUAGAAGACGCAAAAGCAGACGUGAUACGAGAAACGAAGGCGAUUGCGUGAAGAGACGAGUGUCAAAGUCGAAGAAUUAUCCAAAACCAAAAGGAUCAAACUUGUCUUCUCCACGAAAACCUCUUUCCGCCACUAAACUUAUAAACUAAUAAUAUUCUCAAUCUUCUUCUCCUCCUCCUCCUUCUUCUUCCUCUACCACCACUUCUCUCUUCUACAACGAAUUUUCUUAGUUUUUUCUCCCAGUAAAUUUUUGACCUUUUUUUAAUUAACGGAAAGUUACGCAGAAGCUUCUGAUGUAAGUUUACUCUCUUACGCAAGACCAGAGUCGAAGAACCCUUUCGUCCUUGUCCCUCUGUACAAGAAAGACAAGAUAAAGCCCAAAUUUUUAUAAAGCUACUUAUUUUCUCGGGGAGGCGCAGUAACUUUAUAAUUAUUUCAAUUUCACCUCGAUAGUUUGUACAUUAUUUUGUAAACCCUACAUACAUACAAACAUCAUCAAGUCGUCAUAUUUGGGAUUUACCAGAUUUACCAGUUAUAAUGAGUUCGAUUAAUCUACUUCGAUUCUAUUUUAGUCAACGUUCGCUUUGGUUUUUUUUUUUUUUUUGAAGCUUUAACAUACUAAAAACCGGAUCGAUUUGGUUUGGUUUAAACCAACAAACAAAUUCGAUUUCUUUAGAUACCAAUAACCAAAUCAGCAUAAGUUAACUAUUUUAUACUCAUUCAAUGUUGGUCAUACCUAUAUCUGGUUUCACAGUGUAUGUAACGUAUGAUAAUUUGAUAUUGUAAGUGAAUAAAGUAAAAUUGGCAUUUCCUAUCAUAUGAUAAGCUUGAUUGGCAUGUGAUGUGAAUUGGACCACACACAAAUCACACACAAAAUGCCUAUAUCGUCCAUAGGCGGUCCAUCAUUACUGGAAAGAAAUAAAAAAUGAUUAAGUAUGCAAAACAACUUGACGACUUUGAAAAUGAUAUUUCAAUGUUUUUUAUACACAAUUUUGUCCGUAACUGGUUUACGUUAUUUGAGAAAAUUAUUUUAGUGAAACAAUGGAUUGCAUUUUUAUUUGCUACUUAGCCAAAAUACAUUCAUCUCUAAAUUACGCGGUUAAUUUGCUUAGUUUGAAAUUUACGAGAUUCAAAAUCAUCUGAUGCACUUAAUAGAUGUGUUAAUUACGAGAUAUCCACACCAGUAUACGAUGUAAAAAACACCACCUUAAUUAAUUAUAAUUAUAUGACGAUAUGUGGACAAAAAAAGGUAAACAUGCACUUCAUAUAAUGCCAAAGGCUACUACGUACGUAACAUCAGAUUGGUUGAGCCUUCCACAUGGGAAUUCUGUAUAUGCCAAAUUUGUAUAAUCUUAGAUAUAGAAAAAAUGGUCUUCUAUAUGUUCGGGUUACAAUAUAAUACUCGUAAAUGGUCCUUACUAGCUCGAAACCCACAUCUCCUAAAACAAACGUUUAUCUUCUUCGUAUUUUAGUUUUUCUAAGAAAAUCAAGUUGAAAGAUUUAUAUAAACAGUAGAUUUUGAUUUUGAUGCAUGCAUAUAGUUCUGACCUCUGUGAGCAAUCGGAAACAAGAUGUGCUGCCACCUGAAACAAACAUUAAUAAUAUAUGAUUAAGUACUCGACGUGACUUAAAGAGAAUCUCAUGAGAUUCGUUUUUUUGGACAACUCUUAUAUUCAGCUUUGGAUCCGAAAUCAAACAUAGCCCUCGUAACCCCACACAAAUGAUAAUAGGAUAACAUGGAUUCCACAAACUUUUUUUUUUUUUUUUUUUUGUCAUCUGGUAAUAUUAAUAAAACAAGGUGAGAUACAACGAAAGCCGGCGGAAGACAAAAAUUUCCCCGGAGUCUAAAAACCCAAACAAGGGAAACAAAAGUCGGCGGAUAACUAGAAAUCCCCGAAGACAAAGCGAAUUCAAGAGAAAAGGAAACAAGCAUAGGAAAUAAACCCGAGAGAAGACGAACCCUUAAACUGAAGACAAAAGCAACAAGGCUAAAACCAUACAAACAAACUAGUCACCAUAGGCUAAAAAAACUCUUCUUCUGAACCACCUGCAGAAGAAAUUUACCAAGGAUGCCCACGGCCAAUCCGAUGAUAACAUCAACCACCUCUUAUCAAGAUGAGAGCCGAUCUCUCGAAACCGUAACCAAAGACUUCAUAACCCGGCAAGCAAGACUCGAAUACGCUUCCGGAUGCGACGACGACGACUGCAGCGUCCCAUAACGUCUAGAUAGAAGUUUUCAAAGCGCAAUCAGAUCUAAACAAAUCUGCAAAGCAAAGACAAGGAGCGUAGCCUAACCUCUCGAACAAAUCGAACUCAACCAAGCACGAUAAUUGAUCAAGAAUGCCAUCAACCACAGCGAACCACACAACUGAGAAGUCUUGUUGCUUAUAAUAUGUUUUGUGCUUAUAAUAAUAUCACUCUUUUUCUAUAUAUGUUUUGUGCUUAUAAUAAUAUCCAGUGAUAUUGUAGAUUCUUUUAAAAAAGAAAAAUUGGUGACGAGUUGAACGGAAGGAACACAUAAACGCAGGCUCAUCAACCAAAAUUCCUUCUUUCAAGAGACAAAAGAAACAUAAAAUUAACCAUGUGCCACUACUUAGAUAUACGAAUAACGUUAACGUUGAUUAUUAGUUAUGCAUAAAAUACGCAACUAGGCAAAUUGACGCAAACAAAAUAACCACAUUUGCUUAACUUGCCUCUAGACUAUCCGAUGACAUAGGAUGAUUUAACUUUUGACUUGGUAUCCGAUUUCAACUUAUCAGACCAUAUAUUUUAAAACCUAUUGUACGUUACGUAUGCUAUAGAUACGUGAAUGAAUAAUUCUUGCUAAAAUUUGAGUGUAUGUGACUUUGUUAGCGGGAACGGAUCUUGUAAUCUCAUUUUCAUAGAAAUAGUGUCAAGAAACGUCAUUUUACACUGUGGAUUACUUCUGUUUUUCCAUCUCACUUGAUAGUGAAAUGAAAUCCAUCUUUUUAAUUUCCUCUCAAUUAUUAAUGGUUUUCCAAAAAUUAUAUAUCCUUUUCACGUUAUCUAACUAUGAGAGUACUGUCCUUGUGUUUGCGAAUAAGUGGUUGAAUAUGGUAAAGUGAAGAAGCUCCCAUCAUGUUGGACCUACUAGCUUUAGCUAUUAAAAUGUCCUGUCAUCACAUAAGGUACACUGAUCAAUUCUGAAUUUGUUAUACGUGCCCAUCAAUAAUUCGACUUUUAUAAUAUUUUACAAAUCCCUUAAUUGUAUAAUCACACUAAAUUCCAAAUCAUCUUUAUAGAAUUUAAUUAGAAAACCAAUCAAAUUAAAUCAAAGCAUAUCGGUGCUAAAUAGUAGUACACAUGCAUUCACAACUAUAUCACAGAUAUACAAACCGUCCUUAUCCGAUGACGAACCACACAAAACAAAACAAAACAAAAAGAUUCAUAAAGAGCUUAGCCAAGGCGACCGAACAGAUGGAACUAAGCUUCAAUUCGAUCUAAGAUACCAAAACGAAUAAACAUGUACUGUGGUUCUCUCUAGCUAAUAUGUGUUGUUAUACAAACUAUUAUGUUUUGUCUAUGGUUACAAUGUUUGUCAUAAUGCUUCUAUCUUUCUUUAUCUUUUUUUUUUUUAAAUGAGCAAAAACACUAUUCUUGUCUAUGAGACUGAUACGUUGAGCCUUUAUAGACAAGAAAUCCACUAAAGUUGAUCAUAUCCUCUGAUAUAAUUUCAAAGCUAGCUACAAUUAAAGUCAAGAGAAUUAACUAAAGUCUUUUUCUUGUCACGUACAGACAGAUAAAAACUGAAUGGUCAGCUAGAAUUGCUCAACGUGGA